GUCUUUUGCCGAAAUCUGAGUUUAUCCUCAGAUUUUUAAACCUACUAGAAGUACAUCUUCUAAUUGAUCUGGUGAUAUUUCUGACGGAAAAGUGGAAUACGUUUGAGCCGUUAAUGGUCCAUUAUUGAAAUACAACUCAAUGAUCCAGUGAUCAAUUAUGCCGCAUCAUACAUUGACACUCCACUGACGAUGAUCGAUUUCAUGAAGUCAACGAAGAAAAUGAUGGAUUCCACAACGGAGAACUACAGAUUCCUUGGUUGUAAAGUAAUUAACGAACCAAUUUCUCAGUUCACGCUUUUUGAAAUGUUGUCCUUUCAAAGUCCGCUGUGUCGAACGAAAUAGCUGUUAAUUUGAAGGUGCAACAGCUGGAGUAGAGACAGGGAUGACUUUCGAAGACUGUAACCAACUGACAUUUUUAACAAACAGUACGAAGAGUUCUGCAUCGGACCGGAUAUAUUUAAUAGUAUAGUUGCGAGGAAGAAACUACUCAUAAGUAAAGUAAACGGAAAAGAGGUUAGAAUUUGCAGAACAAUACAUAAAUGCUAACGACUUCUGAAAAAACAUAGUAUUUUCCGACGAGUCAAAAUGAAAUAUUUUCGAGUCGGACGGUAGUAAAAAAGUAUGGCGGAAAGCUAAUACUUUUAAUUGGAUUUCAAAAAUAUGCAAUCGACAACGAAACACGAAGGUGGAGAAGCGAGGAUGUAUUGCUGCUUUUGGAGACGGCAAUUUAGUAAUAGUAAAUAAAAUAAUGGAAAAACAUUUAUAUCUAAAUAUUUUAAAAGAAAAUUUACAAAAUGGUGCAGACAAAUUGGAAUGAAUUAGAUGAAUUUUAUUUUCA
This 838-nucleotide long non-coding RNA is filed under the name Megachile rotundata (alfalfa leafcutting bee). Its description in RNAcentral is "uncharacterized LOC105661865, transcript variant X3". The record is from RNAcentral. Lineage: Eukaryota; Metazoa; Arthropoda; Insecta; Hymenoptera; Megachilidae.